Molecule: long non-coding RNA, 398 nt
Filed under: Panax ginseng (ginseng)
Lineage: Eukaryota; Viridiplantae; Streptophyta; Magnoliopsida; Apiales; Araliaceae
Description: long non-coding RNA (PGIN_LNC001424)
Source: RNAcentral
UACUUUGACCGUGAAUAACUCUCUCAUCUUAACGAAUUUGGACAAUCUAUAAAUUGGGUCUUGUAGAGGAAAUACAAGACUACAAGAUCCAACAAUCAUAACCUCUAAACAAACAUCAGAUCUGGGAUAAAUCAGCCAUCAAAGUAGCUACCAAAGCUGUUCUUCACGAAGAACAGUUCGAGGUGCCUACUUUGGACCUCUAUAACUUGAUGAUCGUGUAACGUUUAUGUGAUCUAUCAAUUCCAGUGUGUAGACAACAUGUAGGACUACAACUCUAACACUUAACAUCAUCAUAACAACAAUAAAUCAAGUAUUUAAAGUAUGGUCAAACCUUGUAAGAAAAAUCAACACCUAGAAAAUUCUGGGCUGCCCAGAAUUUUCCGGUCAAUGCCGGUCAA